Molecule: ribosomal RNA, 660 nt
Filed under: uncultured Pseudomonadota bacterium
Lineage: Bacteria; Pseudomonadati; Pseudomonadota
Description: bacterial SSU rRNA
Rfam family: Bacterial small subunit ribosomal RNA
Source: RNAcentral
ACGCAGCUAACGCGUGAAGUCGACCGCCUGGGGAGUACGGCCGCAAGGCUAAAACUCAAAGGAAUUGACGGGGACCCGCACAAGCGGUGGAUGAUGUGGAUUAAUUCGAUGCAACGCGAAAAACCUUACCUACCCUUGACAUGCCCGGAACCUGAGCGAGAGCUUGGGGUGCCCGCAAGGGAAUCGGGACACAGGUGCUGCAUGGCUGUCGUCAGCUCGUGUCGUGAGAUGUUGGGUUAAGUCCCGCAACGAGCGCAACCCUUGUCUCCAGUUGCCAUCACGUGAUGGUGGGCACUCUGGAGAGACUGCCGGUGACAAACCGGAGGAAGGUGGGGAUGACGUCAAGUCCUCAUGGCCCUUACAGGUUGGGCUACACACGUACUACAAUGGCAAUCACAAUGGGAAGCCAGUCCGCAAGGACGAGCCGAUCCUUAAAGGUUGCCUCAGUUCAGAUUGUCCUCUGCAACUCGAGGGCAUGAAGUUGGAAUCGCUAGUAAUCGCGGAUCAGCAGGUCGCGGUGAAUACGUUCCCGGGCCUUGUACACACCGCCCGUCACACCAUGGAAGUUGGUUCUACCUGAAGGCGCUGCGCUGACCGCAAGGAGGCAGGCGACCACGGUAGGGUCAGUAACUGGGGUGAAGUCGUAACAAGGUAACCGUA